UGUUUUCAUUCUAUGUAACCGCGGAUGUUUUGUAGAAAUGAUUAAGAACUCUUUUUUUUUUAUCAAAGUAUAUCUAGUAAUGGGUUUCAUGUUAUCUAACAAAUGAAACUUUUAUUUAUGAAAAAUAACAGAAUUAUUAGUGAUAACAUGGAGAUGGAUUCCUUAACUCAAGCCCCACCAGGUGGUUCAGUGGGAAAUCUGUGGAAUUGUAGCUCUAAAAAUUGGAUUUUGAUACCCGAGGUGGAAACACAUAGCUAGCCUAUAGAGGUUAUGUGGUUUUUGAAGAAUGACUGUUGAUAAGAAAUUUUGUAACAAAGUAAUAUCUAAUGUUGACUGAGUACCAAGUAACAAAUUAAUAACGAAUGUUGACUGAGUACCAAGUAAUAAAUUAAUAAUUAAUGUUGACUGAGUACCAAGUAACAAAUUAAUAAUUAAUGUUGACUGAGUACCAAGUAACAAAUUAAUAACUAAUGUUGACUGACUGCCAAGUAACAAAUUAAUAACUAAUGUUGACUGAGUACCAAGUAACAAAUUAAUAACUAAUGUUGACUGACUGCCAAGUAACAAAUUAAUAACUAAUGUUGACUGACUGCCAAGUAACAAAUUAACAAUGAAUUUUAACAGAGUACCAAUGUAUGAAAGAAACAAAUUUAUGAUCAGUUUAUCAUGAGAAAAUUAAUAGAAGUCCAGAUAAAUAUUACUUGUUUAUUCAAAUGGAAUAGUCUCUUCUAAUACUCCUCCGAAAAAGGAUUUGCCUUACAAUGCUUGAAAAAUACCUUUAUUUUUAGUUAAUGAGACCUCUGCACAUUAUUGCUGUCACUCAUAGGUGUUAUGUGUUAAUUUUAUAUCUUGUCUGCUGUCCACACAUGGGUGUUAUGUGUUAAUUUUAUAUCUUGUCUGCUGUCCACACAUGGGUGUUAUGUGUUGAUGUUAUAUCUUGUCUGCUGUCCACACAUGGGUGUUAUGUGUUGAUGUUAUAUCUUUUUUGCUGUCCACACAUCGGUGUUAUGUGUUAAUUUUAUAUCUUGUCUGCUGUCCACGUCUUUUCUAGUUAACUGUUUAAGGUCAACAUAUCUGUAAGAUGUUUAGAAGUUUGGCCUAUAGUUGAGAUAUAAACUUAUGUUACUUUU
This is a long non-coding RNA of Limulus polyphemus (Atlantic horseshoe crab), 1130 nucleotides long. RefSeq lists it as uncharacterized. The transcript is spliced from 2 exons. The record is from RefSeq and is a predicted model, not a curated record. Lineage: Eukaryota; Metazoa; Arthropoda; Merostomata; Xiphosura; Limulidae.